GACGAACGCUGGCGGCGUGCUUAACACAUGCAAGUCGAACGGAAAGGCCCUGCUUUUGUGGGGUGCUCGAGUGGCGAACGGGUGAGUAACACGUGAGUAACCUGCCCUUGACUUUGGGAUAACUUCAGGAAACUGGUGCUAAUACCGGAUAGGAGCUCCUGCUGCAUGGUGGGGGUUGGAAAGUUUCGGCGGUUGGGGAUGGACUCGCGGCUUAUCAGCUUGUUGGUGGGGGAGUGGCUUACCAAGGCUUUGACGGGUAGCCGGCCUGAGAGGGUGACCGGCGACAUUGGGACUGAGAUACGGCCCAGACUCCUACGGGAGGCAGCAGUGGGGAAUAUUGCACAAUGGGCGGAAGCCUGAUGCAGCAACGCCGCGUGCGGGAUGACGGCCUUCGGGUUGUAAACCGCUUUCGCCUGUGACGAAGCGUGAGUGACGGUAAUGGGUAAAGAAGCACCGGCUAACUACGUG
RNAcentral lists this ribosomal RNA (468 nucleotides) under uncultured bacterium. RNAcentral describes it as "partial 16S ribosomal RNA". It matches the Rfam family "Bacterial small subunit ribosomal RNA", at positions 28 to 507 of the family's 1533-position model. The record is from RNAcentral.